AUACGUAGGGGGCGAGCGUUGUCCGGAAUGAUUGGGCGUAAAGGGCGCGUAGGCGGCGCGGUAAGUCUGGAGUGAAAGUCCUGCUUUCAAGGUGGGAAUUGCUUUGGAUACUGCCGCGCUUGAGUGCAGGAGAGGUUAUCGGAAUUCCCGGUGUAGCGGUGAAAUGCGUAGAGAUCGGGAGGAACACCAGUGGCGAAGGCGGGUAACUGGACUGCAACUGACGCUGAGGCGCGAAAGUGUGGGGAGCAAACAGGAUUAGAUACCCCGGUAGUCCUGGCCGUAAACGAUGGGUACUAGGUGUGGGAGGUAUCGACUCCUUCCGUGCCGGAGUUAACGCAAUAAGUACCCCGCCUGGGGAGUACGGCCGCAAGGCUUAAACUCAAAGGAAUUGACGGGG
RNAcentral lists this ribosomal RNA (397 nucleotides) under uncultured bacterium. RNAcentral's name for it is "partial 16S ribosomal RNA". It matches the Rfam family "Bacterial small subunit ribosomal RNA", at positions 523 to 918 of the family's 1533-position model. The record is from RNAcentral.